Molecule: small RNA, 105 nt
Filed under: bovine gut metagenome
Description: DUF3800-I RNA
Rfam family: DUF3800-I RNA
About the family: Actinobacteria, Firmicutes, Fusobacteria, Proteobacteria (1 example), Tenericutes (2 examples). Terminator (Clostridia)
Source: RNAcentral
UGGCGCAGGCAGGCAACUGCGCUGUAUACCCGUGUAGCCGAAUUAACGUUUAAGCGGCGUGGCAACGUCGCCGGGCACGGGGCCACCGCAAGGUGGUUUUUUUUU